This is a long non-coding RNA of Leptidea sinapis, 1176 nucleotides long. RefSeq lists it as uncharacterized. The record is from RefSeq and is a predicted model, not a curated record. Lineage: Eukaryota; Metazoa; Arthropoda; Insecta; Lepidoptera; Pieridae. The transcript has 4 exons.
AAUACUCACUACUCAGUGCAGGUGCAAACUCAGUGUCAACUGCCAGUGCCAGAUGACUGAGUAACAGAGCCGUCAGCCGUCAACAGAUAGGUGAAAUUGUCACAAUCACAAAAUUUUAUUUUCAUGCUAUUUGUGUAUUUGGGAAUUGUUAUAAAAAACUAAAGUAACCUUAAAAUCAUCAGUAUAUUCAGUUUUUCUAUAAAUUAUAUAUCAAGAGAACUUAAUAACUACCUGGUGCUAACAUUUAUAACAAGUCUAUAGUUAUAAAAACAUGUCGUUGAGCUAUUUAACUAACUCUACUAAAUGUAUUAGUUCGCUAAAGGAAUUUGUACGAUUUGCUAGCAAGAAAACAGGAGGUAGUACAAGAAACACGAAUUGUAAAACGAAGCCGAAACAUAGAGGAUGGAAAGUGCAGGAUGGGCAUUUCGUGCACCCUGGGCAUAUACUUGCUACGCAACUGACUACAAGAUUUCAUCCUGGAUUAAAUGAUGGUGCGCAAGUCAUGGGAGAAAAUUUUUGAGUAUUGGAGGGAACCUGUUGCAAUAGCUGUCUUCGCACAGGCAUCUGCAUUUUCGUUACCAAGAAUGCCUGAAUGACCUGGAAUCCAUGCUAAAACGAUGUUAAUAUUGAGGUCAUAGCAUUCCUUCUAAGAUUCCCUUAUUUUAAAUAUAAUUGGAAAAUGACUUUGAGACUUAAAUGGAUUUGACAGUAUUGAUUGAAGGCAACUUUUGGAGUCUGAAAGAAUAAUAGAAUUGUUUAUGCCAUGAGACUUAACAAAUAAAAUUGCUUCAAGAAUGGCAAUUGAUUCCCCAGUGAAAACAGAAGUGAUAGAUGGGCAGCUGUAACUGAGUAUAAUUCUUGUUGAAGGAAUCCAUGCUGCAGCACCAAUAGCAAAAGGUUGGAUUAGGAAGAAAUGGUACAUUAUUUGCUAUGGAAGCCGGGAAAGUAGUUGUCACAUGUGAGAAGUUUGACCCUAAUUGGGAACACCCAUGGGUGCAGAGGAAUUAUGCAGGACGGACUAACCAGACAAUUUAUAAGAAAUAUUUCAAUGUAAUACCAGAAGAUCAACACAACAGGUUUAAAUUAAUUGAUGAAGUAUAGAAGUAUAAUAGGGAAAUUUUAAUGAUAAUUAUUGUAUUUACUAUUUAGUUUUGAAAUAUAGAUUGUUGACAGACA